CCGGUUGAUCCUGCCGAAGGCUACUGCUAUUGGAGUUCGAUUAAGCCAUGCGAGUCUAAGGGACUUCGGUCCCUGGCAUAAUGCUCAGUAACAAGUGGAUAAUCUGCCCUUAGGUGAGGAAUAAACCCGGGAAACUGGGGCUAAUACCUCAUAGACACAAGAAGCUGGAAUGCUCCUGUGUUCAAAGCUCCGGCGCCUAAGGAUGAGUCUGCUUCCUAUCAGGUUGUAGUCAGGGUCAAGACCUGACUAGCCAACGACGGGUACGGGGUGUGAGAGCACUUGCCCGGAGAUGGUUUCUGAGACACGAAACCAGGCCCUACGGGGCGCAGCAGGCGAGAAAACUUUGCAAUGUGCGAAAGCACGACAAGGUUAAUCCGAGUGAUUUCUGCUAAAGAAAUCUUUUGCCAGUCAUAAAACCACUAGUGAAUAAGGGGUGGGCAAGUUCUGGUGUCAGCCGCCGCGGUAAAACCAGCACCUCAAGUGGUCAGGAGGAUUAUUGGGCCUAAAGCAUCCGUAGCCUGCUCUGUAAGUUUUCGGUUAAAUCUAUAUGCUCAACGUAUAGGCUGCCGAAAAUACUGCAGUGCUAGGAAGUGGGAGAGGUAGACGGUACUUGGUAGGAAGGGGUAAAAUCCUUUGAUCUAUCGAUGACCACCUGUGGCGAAGGCGGUCUACCAGAACACGUUCGACGGUGAGGGAUGAAAGCUGGGGGAGCAAACCGGAUUAGAUACCCGGGUAGUCCCAGCUGUAAACGAUGCAGACUCGAUGAUGCAUUGGCAUAUAGCCGGUGCAGUGUCGCAGGGAAGCCGUUAAGUCUGCCGCCUGGGAAGUACGUACGCAAGUAUGAAACUUAAAGGAAUUGGCGGGGGAGCACCACAAGGGGUGAAGCCUGCGGUUCAAUUGGAUUCAACGCCGGA
RNAcentral lists this ribosomal RNA (914 nucleotides) under uncultured marine archaeon. RNAcentral's name for it is "bacterial SSU rRNA". It matches the Rfam family "Archaeal small subunit ribosomal RNA", at positions 4 to 922 of the family's 1478-position model. The record is from RNAcentral.